UCGGACGGGUGAGUAACGACGUGGAGUAACCUGCCGUAUACCGGGGAGUAACACUUAGAAUAGGUGCUAUACCGCAUAAGCGCACGGCUCCGCAUGGGCAGUGUGAAAAACUCCGGUGGUAUACGAUGGAUCCGCGUCUGAUUAGCUAGUUGGCGGGGUAACGGCCCACCAAGGCAGCGAUCAGUAGCCGGCCUGAGAGGGUGGACGGCCACAUUGGGACUGAGACACGGCCCAAACUCCUACGGGAGGCAGCAG
RNAcentral lists this ribosomal RNA (255 nucleotides) under uncultured bacterium. Its description in RNAcentral is "partial 16S ribosomal RNA". It matches the Rfam family "Bacterial small subunit ribosomal RNA", at positions 98 to 354 of the family's 1533-position model. The record is from RNAcentral.